This 321-nucleotide unclassified non-coding RNA is filed under the name uncultured fungus. RNAcentral describes it as "partial contains 5.8S ribosomal RNA and internal transcribed spacer 2". The stretch from base 1 to 133 matches the Rfam family "5.8S ribosomal RNA", at positions 22 to 154 of the family's 154-position model. The record is from RNAcentral. Lineage: Eukaryota; Fungi.
UGGUUCCGACAANGAUGAAGAACGCAGCGAAAUGCGAUAAUUAAUGUGAAUUGCAGAAUUUUGUGAAUCAUCGAAUCUUUGAACGCAUAUUGCGCCCUCUGGUAUUCCGGGGGGCACGCCUGUUCGAGCGUCAUUGAAACCAUCAAGCCCCGCUUGGUAUUGGGAUCUCCCCGGGGAAUCCCGAAAUUCAGCGGCUCGGUCGUACCGGAGAAGAACGCACGGGAUUUUACAUCAUCGUUUUUACUUUCGGGCGCCGUCGUCAACAAUCGGCUUUUUGCCAUUCUAUGAAUUGACCUCGGAUCAGGCGGGAAUACCCGCUGA